UACGUAGGUCCCGAGCGUUGUCCGGAUUUAUUGGGCGUAAAGGGAACGCAGGCGGUCUUUUAAGUCUGAUGUGAAAGCCUUCGGCUUAACCGGAGUAGUGCAUUGGAAACUGGGAGACUUGAGUGCAGAAGAGGAGAGCGGAACCCCAUGUGUAGCGGUGAAAUGCGUAGAUAUAUGGAAGAACACCAGUGGCGAAAGCGGCUCUCUGGUCUGUAACUGACGCUGAGGUUCGAAAGCGUGGGUAGCAAACAGG
This 253-nucleotide ribosomal RNA is filed under the name uncultured bacterium. RNAcentral's name for it is "partial 16S ribosomal RNA". It matches the Rfam family "Bacterial small subunit ribosomal RNA", at positions 524 to 776 of the family's 1533-position model. The record is from RNAcentral.